CCUACGGGAGGCAGCAGUGGGGAAUUUUGGACAAUGGGGGCAACCCUGAUCCAGCAAUGCCGCGUGAGUGAAGAAGGCCUUCGGGUUGUAAAGCUCUUUUGUCAGGGAAGAAACACCGGCUCUAACACAGUCCGGGAAUGACGGUACCUGAAGAAUAAGCACCGGCUAACUACGUGCCAGCAGCCGCGGUAAUACGUAGGGUGCGAGCGUUAAUCGGAAUUACUGGGCGUAAAGCGUGCGCAGGCGGUUAUACAAGACAGGCGUGAAAUCCCCGGGCUUAACCUGGGAAUGGCGCCUGUGACUGUAUAGCUAGAGUGUGUCAGAGGGGGGUAGAAUUCCACGUGUAGCAGUGAAAUGCGUAGAUAUGUGGAGGAAUACCAAUGGCGAAGGCAGCCCCCUGGGAUAACACUGACGCUCAUGCACGAAAGCGUGGGGAGCAAACAGGAUUAGAUACCCUGGUAGUCCACGCCCUAAACGAUGCUGACUAGUUGUUCGGGAUUUACAUCCUGAGUAACGUAGCUAACGCGUGAAGUCAGCCGCCUGGGGAGUACGGUCGCAAGAUUAAAACUCAAAGGAAUUGACGG
This 584-nucleotide ribosomal RNA is filed under the name uncultured bacterium. RNAcentral describes it as "bacterial SSU rRNA". It matches the Rfam family "Bacterial small subunit ribosomal RNA", at positions 338 to 916 of the family's 1533-position model. The record is from RNAcentral.